CGUGACCCAGGGUAGCCACUGGGAUUUAUGAAGAGGCAAAAGUGGGGAGAUUUGAGAAUUUAGGAAUGUCAGGAGUGGGCAUACACAGAGCUAUCUCUGGGCACCCUCACCCACUUUGCACAGGCUUUUGCACAGUGGAUGAUUGUGCUCCUGGAAGAGAUCCAGGGAGCACAAAGUACGAGACCUGCUUCUGCCCAAGAGGAUCAGAAACUGAGACCUAUGUGGGUCUCGGGAUGGCACUAAACCACUCGUGAGAAAUUCACCACCAUAAUCUCAUCACCUCCCACCAGGCCCCACCUCCAAAACUGGGGAUUAUAUUUCAACAUGAGAUGUGGGUGUGAACACAGAUUCAAACUAUAUCAUUCUUCCCAUGGCCCCUCCCAAAUCUCAUGUCUGUCUUACAUUUCAGAAUACAAAUAUGCCUUCCCAAUCAUCUCCCAAAGUCUCAACUCAUUCCAGCGUUAACUCAAAGACAAAAAUUCAAAGUCUCAUCUGAAACAAGGUGUUGCCAAAGGAGAUUAUUAUUUGAGUCAGAGGACUGGGAGAAGCAGACCUACCCUCGAUCUGGGUGGGUGUCAUCUAGUCAGCUGCCAGUGUGGCUAGAAUGAAGCAGGCAGAAGUUGGAAAGAGCAGACCUGCUGAGUCUUCUGGCCCUCAUCGUUCUCCCGUGCUGGAUUCUUCUGGCCCUCAAACAUCAGACUCCACGUUCUUCAGCUUUUGGACUCAUGGACUUACACCAGUGGUGUGCCAGGGCCUCUUGA
RNAcentral lists this small RNA (761 nucleotides) under Pan troglodytes (chimpanzee). RNAcentral's name for it is "retained intron". Lineage: Eukaryota; Metazoa; Chordata; Mammalia; Primates; Hominidae. The record is from RNAcentral.